Molecule: ribosomal RNA, 460 nt
Filed under: uncultured bacterium
Lineage: Bacteria
Description: partial 16S ribosomal RNA
Rfam family: Bacterial small subunit ribosomal RNA
Source: RNAcentral
CCUACGGGAGGCUGCAGUGAGGAAUAUUGGUCAAUGGACGAGAGUCUGAACCAGCCAAGUCGCGUGAAGGAUGACUGCCCUCUGGGUUGUAAACUUCUUUUAUAUGGGAAUAAAAUGUUCCACGUGUGGGAUUUUGUAUGUACCAUUUGAAUACGGCUCGGCUAACUCCGUGCCAGCAGCCGCGGUAAUACGGAGGAUCCGAGCGUUAUCCGGAUUUAUUGGGUUUAAAGGGCGCGUAGGUGGAUUUGUAAGUCAGUUGUGAAAGUUUGCGGCUCAACCGUAAAAUUGCAGUUGAAACUGGCAGUCGUGAGUACAGUAGAGGUGGGCGGAAUUCGUGGUGUAGCGGUGAAAUGCUUAGAUAUCACGAAGAACUCCGAUUGCGAAGGCAGUUCACUGGACUGCAACUGACACUGAGGCUCGAAAGUGUGGGUAUCAAACAGGAUUAGAUACCCUUGUAGUC